GACCGGCCAGCACAUGCUCGCUCUUAUUUGCCACUGUCAGAGGCCGAGGGGGAUAUGAUGGAUAUCGGAGAGACGACUUAUAAAGUGAUGAGAGAUCAGUGCAGAAUUUAGAUAUCUGUACAACUCAGACUGGCACUUUUGGAAAAGGAUUUCUCAAAUGUUUCUGCAAUCCGCAAAAAGGUAGAGAGUUUUCAAUAGUUGUUUUCUGUUAAAUGAGCUGAAUUUGCUUUUUGAUAGAAGUUCGGAUGGUUUUCGAUAGUUGAAAUUGGUUUCUGUUCCUCCUUCUUCUGCUGAAAGCUGGAUAUCCUGAAUUUGAUAUCAUGUUUUAAAGCAUUUAUUUGCAGUUUGUGUGAAAAGUUCAAUCGUAUCUGCAUCAUAAAACGGACUAAUCCCGAAAAUCUUGCAGAGAGUCAUGACCCGAUGCCUCCUGAGGAAUUUGGCACAGAAAACUGUGAGUUUGUCUGGAAAAAGAAAAUGUUUUCAGUUGAAAACGGUUCAGUUGAGAGCGUUGGCCGUUGCUGCCCCUAAGUUCAGCUCUCAUAGAGGCUCAGACUGGAUUUGACGCGUCUAUUCAUGAGGGCUGAAUGGAAAACUGUGGGGCCUGAAAAAAGAGCCCUUCUUUUCUUUAUGAAGGAGCCUCGAUAUCUGCCGGCUUGCUUUGCAUCAGAAUAACUCAGCACUUGCUUGUCAACCAGGUUGGUUAUGGGAAGAGGAGACAGCAGGAAUCUGGUUUAUUUGGAUGCUGCCUGAAUGCAAACACAGGAAUUCCUGAAUAAGUGGAGAAUUUCUUCUGAAAAAACCGAACAUCAGCAACACUAUAAAAGUGGUCAAAGACACACGCAGAUGUACUAAAAAGGAACAAUAUUUCACUGCUGAAAGCAUCAAAAACACUUCAGUGUGCAGUGAAGAUCCAUCCUCUGCUUCUUUUUGUUGCUUAAAUCAAACAAACUCCAAACACUGGAUGGAAAAUUCAUCUUCUCCUCCAGCACGGCGAGGCCCUGCUCACCAUAAAAUUGGAGAAAAUCUCGAAUUUCUCGAGAGGAUGUGCUCCUUUUUUUUCUCCACUCCCAAGCUGAUUUCUCUUUCUCUCACCUCCAUCUGUCCGCUCACUCCAUCUCCACUCUCGAGGCUGCACAACCUGUUCACGGGAAAUUACUUAUUCAUCACUUCCUCGGCUGUAGCAGCGAGAAAAGGCCGCGGAUUAGCUCGCUGUAUCUUCAGGCAAACACACACUCCCAAACACACACACACACCUGAAAUCUGCAGCCUCCUCUGUCCUUAGGCAGCAACUUUUUGGAUUAAGUGUUAAUUCUUUGUGAUGAAUGUAAUGAAUUUGCCAUCAUGCACUCAAUAAAUGACUGCAGUCAUCCUCCAGAGGUGGUCAGUUUAGGGGAAGAAGCUGAUUGCUGCAGCUUUUUCACGCUGAUCUGAGAUCUACAUCGGCCUCUGAAGAAAGAGAGAAACCAGCUCUGACACGAUAAAACUAAACGAUGCUACUCUCUGAAGGGCAGCCUUCAAAUCCUUAAAUCUUCAAAUCCCUGGUUACUAAAUGAUUACCAUUUCACCGCCUGGAUCCUUUGCACCGCAACAUUCAUCUUUGCCACUCUUAUCCCCACAAACUUACAAAAAGAACGAGCAAGAGGGAUUUCAAGUUUCCCUCAAGGACACUAAGAUGAGAUACGGGACGAUAAACAGACGGUGAUGAUGUCUUCACUCACAGAAUGGAUGAACCAAGUUUUGGCAGCGGCUUCAAAUGACGAAAUUUAUCUUGCAGGAGAAAAUUAAAGGAUGUGAGUUAGUGAUAGGGUCAAAUAUUUUAUAGCCUGAUCAGUUCAAACUCACUUUUCACUUUGAAUAGUUCCCCUUUAAAUAGAGAGAGUAACCUUGUGAACGGAGAUUUCAGGUGUGGAUGAUGUGUUUGAUGGAUGGAAGCACGCAGCUCUGCAUUUAUAAAAGCAGAUGUGUUUAAUCGUCUCUGUUUUAUCGUCCAGGCUUUCAGGACUGGGUCGACAUUUUAAUUUUAGGAAAACUAAACUACUUUACUGUCAGUCAACCCUGGGAGUUUAAAUGCCAUCUUCCAUCAUGGUGGUCUGUGUUCUGCCUGUUUUUGCUCUCCGUACAAGCUGUUUUUGUAAUGUGGACUCUUGAUUUUGCAGCAGAAUAAGAAGAGAUCGCCACAUUGAUAACCCUGCCCUCUGUUCAGAAACACACUCUCUCGUCUUCCAGCUUCACAGAUUUUUUUUUGUUAUAAAUGUUUGAGAAAAGUGGCAGCAGCUUGAGACGUCAUCUCUAAAAGGUGAACUUCGUCUUUCAGCCUGUUCUCCGCUCAGGUCUGGGGUAAUUACUUCGGCACACAGACAGAUUUACAGCUCUACAGCGGGGCACUAAAUCUCAUCUGGAGCUUCACAAACGACAGCGGGCGAUCGAUCAAUAAAGAGAGAGAGAGAUACACAGAGCGCUCAGGUAAUGUUAGUCCGCUCCAUACGGCUGAAUCCUCUGCAGGGUCUCCUUCUGUACAGUCAUUAUCCCUGAACCCUCACCAGCACCUAUUUCAGUCCAACACCAAUUACCCACAAACCCCUCUGUUCAUCUGUGAGAGCUGGGAGAGCGUGAAAAGGUCUGAGAUUUAACGGCUUUCUGCAGGAGUGAGCAUUAUUGUACUUCAUAAUUUAAGCUUAUUAGCAUACAGGUGAUAAAAGGCUCAUUUAAAGCUGUUAAUUACAGGCAGACAGACAGGUGUGUCCACUUUUUGGCCAUUAAAGAGACAAUAAAACAAGAUAUAAAGUAGUAACUAAACUAGGGGGGUCAUUUGUGAGGACAUUUUUCCUUCAAAGAUCUGGAUUUUUCUGCAGAUUUCAUCCAAUUAAAGUCGUUUAUUCAUGGAGAAAACUGAGAGGCCACUCCCUCCCCCGUCAAUGUUCUGAUCAAUUCAGUAUAGAUUCGCCCUCUUUUAACACCAUUAUCCUCAUCUCCUAUUGAAUGUUUUUUGGCCUUCAUUUGCCCGAGCUCCUCCCCGUCGAUCAUAAUUAUCAGUAGUGAUUGAUGAAACUGGAGAGGAAACAAGACGCACACCCAGUCACUUUCAAUGCAAGAGCAGGAAGUCAACAAAGUGGAGUCUGUGGGGCUUUUAAAUAGGAUGAGGAGUUUGGAGGGCCUCCUGAAGUCGAAUAAAUCUCAUUCAGCUGAGUGAGUUUGUGAAGCACGGAAGGCUGACUGGAAAAUAAAGCUCCAUAAAAAGGUUAAACGGCUGUUUCACCUCUGGAACAAACACAACGGUUUGCUUAAAUGAGUGAGCGACAGCAGACAGAUGGAGAUGUUUGGACAAAAGAGGGUGAAAAGUACAGAAGAGACAGAAACUUUGAGACUCUGGGGUCACUGAGGUCACACAAGUUCCUGAAAACUGCAUUCUUCCUCAUGCCUCAUAACUCUCGUAGUUGAAUCUCUCAGGCAAUUGAUUUCCCUCAGGCUUGAGGGUCUCACUCUCUAACUUUAUUUACUUUAUGUUAGAUGGGAUUCGUAUCUUCAGAAAGUUUGAAACAGAACUUUUUAUACUGUUUGUUACUCAAAUUAAGCAAAAGUAGUCAGUAGUGUGAGUAAGUUUCCUGCAGUAGCUCAGAGUUCUGUUAUUUGGGGGUGAAAUGACAGAAAUGGUCAAAGAAGGAGUCUAAAAGGAUCUGAAAGUUGCUCAUAAUCCUUAUUGGAUUCCUCAACAGAAUUAAAGAGGUGUUCACUUAAAGCCUAAACCCUCAGCUAUCGUACUGUUUUCCAUUCAUGAGUAUCAGCAUGAAUAAAAAACGACAAACUAAAGUGAGCUAUGGCAAUCAAAGGAUUGAAAUUCAGGGUAAACUCGACUCUGAGGUUAAUAUUAUGUCAGUUUUCAGGAUUUCUCUAAAAGCAGGAAUAUAAUCCUGCUCCGUGUCGUGUUUGUUCCUCAGUUUGAUAAAGAGGAACUCGUGGUCUCUGCACUAAUCCUCUGCAGCCCGAGGCCGGGACGAGCCGGCCUCUCUGAGAGUUUGAGGCAAAGUGUUACGACCUGACGGGAGCUUAGUGUUCACCAUAUGGUGUUGUGGUUUUCAGGGGCCAUUUCUGUGGGUGAGUGUGUGUGUGUGUGUGUGUGUGUGUGUGUGUGUGUGUGUGUGUGUGUGUGUGUGUGUGCGCGCGCGCACACAGGAGCGGUUUGGGGGAAAAGAUUAGCUCUGUGGUCGCUGUCAUGCUGUGUGCUCUGAACUCUCUGUAGAGGAAAUUUUUAUUGAUUUGAAUUCCUUCAGUUUGAAGUCUGGAACGUAAACCUGAGUUAAAGUUUAAGUUAAGCUAAAGUUAAGUCUAAGUUACAAAUAUAGUUAUUGUUAUUUUUUUUAGUUGUAGUUACAUUACAGUUGAACGUUUGUGAUAAAAUUGAGUUUCUUGAAUGAAUUGAAUGAAUAUUAUUUUUUUGUUUUCUGUAUUUAAAAGUUUUGUUUCAGCAGUUUUUGACACAUUUAAUGAAAUAUUUAAAUUUUUUUCAUUUGGUUAAAUUAUUCCUGUUUUUUAUUUUAACCGUGGUUUAUAUUUUUCUAUUUUUCAUGUUUUUUUCUUCAUGUCAUGAAAUCUUUUGGUGUCCUCCGGUUUUCCUUUUUUUGUUUCGUUAAUUUUUUGGUGUUCAAGUCUGUAAAUCUGAACUUUUGAAACAUGGGACUCAUUUCAGUGUCAGGUUCAACCCUGCAGUGAUUGGGUUUUACCUCUGGGCUUGAAGGACCAGGGUUGACUCAUCUGUUGCUGCAGGCCUGGACUCAAUCUUUUCCUUCUUGACUCAGCUGAAACUCCUGUCAAAAGGAGAGACCCUGUGAGUCAGCACAUCAGAGACGGUUUCAUUCAGUAAAAAGUUCUUUAAAACUCUCUGUGGUUUCUUAGAAGUUUGGGGUUGACCUGUUGAUCUGAGUCUGAUUUAGAGGAUAAUGGUUUUCAGAAGUUUUUAGGGACAUGAAAGUGAUGCAGAUAGUGUCACUGAGGGAUAUUAUCAGCUGAAUUUUCUUACUAUAACAUCACAGGCUCUCUCUGUGUCUCUGGUUCGGCUCAGACAGGUUCUUCUCUGUGACCUGAACAUCUUCUGCUGUAACAGGGCAGAUAAAUCUGUCUUGUGGCCUCGCCGUCUGCUUACGAAGGAGGUCCAAACACAGUGUCGUACUCUUGUGUGAUCCGUCUGCAGUCUGAUUCACUUAAUUAAUUAACUAAUGGGCUGAAAAUAGAUCAGAUGACCCGGUCACCGUUUGACUGACGGAGUGGAGCGGGAGGUGGAGGACUCCGUCAUCGAGGUAAAAACAGGACAGGGAUGUUUGGCACAGCAUGGAUCGGACUAUCUGCAGCGUUGCAUCAGGAUCCUUUAACGCUGUGAAAAUGAAGGAAGAAGAGCUGUCCCUGCACACAACAUGAGAGUGUGUGCAGGGAACCUGAAUAAUAACAACUGUUUAAUUUGUUUGUUUGUUUGUUUAAAACUUUAAAUUAGCUGAAUAACAUCGAGGAGUCCAGAAACCUGCAGGCUGACUGUGCUGUCAACAGGUUCAUGCUAAUUAGAUUUAAAUGAGUGGACGAUAAGGGCCUGAAGGAGGGUCUGCUUUAUUGCUUUGUUCCUCAGGCUCUCAGCUGAGUUAGUUAAACAGCCUCUACAUUUUACACUAAUGCAGGUGUGACGCUUUCUUUUUAUCAUCUCUUUCAAUGAAAUAAUCAUCAAAUAUACUCUGGCACUCUGCACACACGGACUGAGCUCUGAGGUACUUUCAGAUGAACCCUGAAGCUACUUUUUUAAUAGAUUUUAUUCAUUAGAAAACACAGCUAAUCCUCCAACACACAAAGUACUGAGUGGAAUUAAAUCUGACGAGGUCUAAAAAUCUCAAGACUUUUCCCUCCAACUGUAAAAACUUACAUUUUAACAAUAUAAAAGCAUCUCGUAGAUCUGAAGCAUCAGUGUCAGACUAAACAGCCUGUGUUGAUACUGUUGAUGUUGUUGUUGUAGUGGGUUUGUGUGAAUCACUACACCUUUAUUUAGUCCACAGCCUGUUCAUUCAGCCCUCUAAACCUGUUUAUUGUCGUGUUUCCCGUCAGUCCAAUUAGUCCAAACUGGAAGAGAGGAAGUGGAUAUGUAGGCCAUCAGGUAAGUGUAUGUGUGUGUGUGUGUGGAGGACAGAGCGCUCUGAUGCAGGAGCCUCUAAUCCAAUGGAGAAGGGGGGGAGAGAGAGAGUGUGGACACAGCAGAGGAUUAUGGGAUUAGAGAUAGGGAAGAUGUGACAUGAGAUGGCCACUCUGCAGCUGCAAAGCUCUGUGAUGCUGGCAUGUCUGCGGCUGCCAUGGCAACAGGGGCAAGGACAGGUACUGAUACUGUCUGGUGUGUUUUUCUGAGGGGUAAAGUGUCUCAUAAAGUGCAUUUGAAAACUCUAAAUCUCUUGGACAGAUUUUAAACUUCUCUACUGUUUGUACCUGUUGAUCUCAUUGUUACAGAUAGAUUCUUUAGAUUCAUAAAAAACUUGUUAUUCGAGUAAAAAUUGGUGUUAACAGCAGAAAUCUGAGGAGUCUGAGACAGCAGCAUGUCUAAAAGAAGAGAAACUGACUAAAUUAAAGUCACUCAUGGGUCUAAAAAAGCAGAAUUUCCCUCCUUUCCACUCAUAAAAACAUCAUUUUUCUGUCCUGACUGUUUAGCAGAGACAUCCUAUCCUCUGAGCUCCAGGCAACAACUGCUGACCUUCAAGAAAACCACCUGAGUGUCUCGAUUGCAGCCAUAACUCAAGGUAAUGCCCUCCACAGAAACACUCACAGCCGCUCUGACCCUCAGAAAACUCUUUCCCGCCUCCUAAUAUCCACUUUAUGGUGGUUUGUCGGCGGCCACGGCGUGAACAACCAAAUGAGCCAGAUGGGAUUCAGGGUCUGAAGGGAGAUUAAGGAUGUGUCCAGAUUACGCUGUGAUCAGCAGCCAGAAACACUGACACCGUGCCAGGAGGUAAUCCAGCCGAGGAGGAUGGCAGCCAGGCCGGGCGCCACCGUGACGCCACUAGACAAGAAGUCAGCAGAGCUCCUGACACAGCAGGAGGGACAGCCUGUGAUCUGCCUUUUAUUUAUUUUAUUCAUUAUAGAUUUUUAAAAGUGGGUGACACGACCUGCUGCAUCCUCGAACAUUAUAAACAACUUUUGAAAAAAUUAAGUGAGCAUCAGUGACCAUUUCCUGCUAUUCCUCUUCAUCCCAAAC
This 7213-nucleotide long non-coding RNA is filed under the name Xyrichtys novacula (pearly razorfish). The record is from RNAcentral. Lineage: Eukaryota; Metazoa; Chordata; Actinopteri; Labriformes; Labridae.